AUGAUGAAGCCCGGCUCCCGCAAGCGCCGCGCCUCGCCGCCUGCGCCGUCGGCCCCCGUCACGCUGCCGCCGCCGGGCUUCGUGGCGGACAGGGAGGAGGCGGCGGCCCGCGUGGAGCGGCUUCUCCAGUACCAGUUCAACAACCGCUCCCUGCUCGAGGAGGCGCUCACCCACCAGUCCUUCGCCGCCGCCUCGUACCAGAGGCUCGAGUUCGUCGGGGACGCGGCGCUUGGCCUCGCCUUCUCCAACUUCCUCUACCUCACCAACCCCACCGUCGGCCCCGGCGCGCUCUCCACGCUCCGGGCUGCCAACAUCUCCACCGAGAAGCUGGCGCGCGUCGCCGUGCGCCACGACCUCUACCCGCUGCUCCGACGCAACUGCCCUCGCCUCGAUCUGUUGGUAGGACAGUUUAUCCAGUCAGUGAAACAAGAGUUAGAGGAUGACCUUGGCACUACGCCCUAUGGUGGCAGUGUAUUUAAGGCUCCCAAGGUGCUUGCUGAUAUGGUUGAGGCCAUUGCUGCUGCUGUCUAUGUGGAUUGCAACUUUAAUCUUGAGAAGCUCUGGAAGGUAACAAGGUUCCUCUUUGAGCCCAUUGUCACGGCAGAAACAAUAGAUGAGCAACCUGUGUCUAUGUUGCAUGAACUGUGCCAGAAACAUGGGAAAGAUGUAAAAUUCAAGACUUGGCAGAAGGGUGGAACAACGGUUGUAAAUGUAUUUGUUGGUGGGGCACUUGUUGGGAUGGGGUCCUCAGAGCAGAUGGUAAUCGCUAAGCUCAAUGCCACACGGGAUGCAUUAAGCAAGCUUCUUGGUGGAGGCAAUCAGCAAGUCUUGACAACUGGAGUUGGCCAUGGAUUGGGGGUUGAGGUUGGAGAGCUUAGGGAAUGCAAGCAGAAGCUUAUUGAGCAGUGCAGCAGGAAGCAUUGGCCAAAACCCAUCUUUAAGUUAGAGAAGGAAGAUGGCCCGGCACAUGAUAGGACAUUUGUUUACUCCGUUCAGGUAGAAGCCCAAGGUGGUAUUUGGGUAACUUUAAGUGAUAAGAUGUCAAGGGUAAAGGAUGCGGAGAAUUCUUGCGCGCAGAAGAUGUUGGAACAUCUAUUGAAAUUGGAUCCAUGCACUUGA
This 1119-nucleotide ribosomal RNA is filed under the name Triticum aestivum (bread wheat). RNAcentral's name for it is "partial small subunit ribosomal RNA". Lineage: Eukaryota; Viridiplantae; Streptophyta; Magnoliopsida; Poales; Poaceae. The record is from RNAcentral.